UUGUACUGUGAAACUGCGAAUGGCUCAUUAAAUCAGUUAUAGUUUAUUUGAUGGUAUCUUGCUACAUGGAUAACUGUGGUAAUUCUAGAGCUAAUACAUGCUUAAAAGCCCCGACUUCGGAAAGGGUGUAUUUAUUAGAUAAAAGCCAACCCUUCGGGUCCCUUGGUGAUUCAUAAUAACUUCUCGAAUCGCAUGGCCUUGCGCCGGCGAUGCUUCAUUCAAAUAUCUGCCCUAUCAACUGUCGAUGGUAGGAUAGAGGCCUACCAUGGUUGCAACGGGUAACGGGGAAUAAGGGUUCGAUUCCGGAGAGGGAGCCUGAGAAACGGCUACCACAUCCAAGGAAGGCAGCAGGCGCGCAAAUUACCCAAUCCCGACACGGGGAGGUAGUGACAAUAAAUAACAAUAUAGGGCUUUCAUAGGUCUUAUAAUUGGAAUGAGUACAAUUUAAAUCCCUUAACGAGGAACAAUUGGAGGGCAAGUCUGGUGCCAGCAGCCGCGGUAAUUCCAGCUCCAAUAGCGUAUAUUAAAGUUGUUGCAGUUAAAAAGCUCGUAGUUGAACUUCAGCCCUGGCCGGCCGGUCCGCCUCACGGCGUGUACUGUCCAGCCGGGGCUUCCCUCCUGGUGAUCCCGCGUGCUCUUUACUGGGCGCGUGGGGGAACCAGGAUCUUUACUUUGAAAAAAUUAGAGUGUUCAAAGCAGGCCUAUGCCCGAAUAUAUUAGCAUGGAAUAAUAAAAUAGGACGCGCGGUUCUAUUUUGUUGGUUUCUAGAGUCGCCGUAAUGAUUAAUAGGGAUAGUUGGGGGCAUUAGUAUUCGCAUGCUAGAGGUGAAAUUCUUGGAUUUUGCGAAGACUAACUUCUGCGAAAGCAUUUGCCAAGGAUGUUUUCAUUAAUCAAGAACGAAGGUUAGGGGAUCGAAAACGAUCAGAUACCGUUGUAGUCUUAACAGUAAACUAUGCCGACUAGGGAUUGGUGGAUGUUAUUUUAUUGACUCCAUCAGCACCUUACGAGAAAUCAAAGUC
This 1019-nucleotide ribosomal RNA is filed under the name Violaceomyces palustris. Its description in RNAcentral is "SSU rRNA". It matches the Rfam family "Eukaryotic small subunit ribosomal RNA", at positions 74 to 1105 of the family's 1831-position model. Lineage: Eukaryota; Fungi; Basidiomycota; Ustilaginomycetes; Violaceomycetales; Violaceomycetaceae. The record is from RNAcentral.